GGCUGCAGGAAAAUAAAGACAGAUGACAACGGGGUGGGAGUGGCAGGGGUGGGGCUGCCAUCUGAGAUAAAGUGGUCAGGGAAAUCUCUGCUGAGAUGACAGUAGCGCAGAGGCAGGACAGAAGGGAGCAAGCCAUGUAGGGGAAGGGAGCAGUCACAUAAGUGUCCCAAAGGGAGAAUGAACUUGGUCAGCUCAAGGAGAAGCCGGCGGGCCCGUGUGGCUGGAGCAGGUAGACAAGGGGGAGUGUGGCAGGAGAAGCGGCAGGACAGAGACAGGAACAGGAAGAGGACAGGGAUCCCCAGCACAGGCCACAGCCGUGACAUCCGCCAAUAUGACAGCAAUACAUGCAGUGAGCCACGACUGAGUAUGCAACGUCAUCUGAAGAUGGAGGCCACGGCCCCCGCUGACCUCUCACAGGAGGACAGGCAGGAGGAGCAGUCCGGGUGGGCCCAGAGGUGUUGCCUGCCUGGUGGAUUUCUUUUUCUCCAUGAGUUCAUGCGUGAGUCAGGCACACGUGUAACAGG
This is a long non-coding RNA of Ailuropoda melanoleuca (giant panda), 524 nucleotides long. RefSeq lists it as uncharacterized. The record is from RefSeq and is a predicted model, not a curated record. The transcript has 2 exons. NCBI's taxonomy places the organism in Eukaryota, Metazoa, Chordata, Mammalia, Carnivora, Ursidae.